RNAcentral lists this transfer-messenger RNA (397 nucleotides) under Bacteroidetes bacterium ADurb.Bin057. RNAcentral describes it as "transfer-messenger RNA, SsrA". It matches the Rfam family "transfer-messenger RNA". Rfam says of the family: Bacterial tmRNA, also known as 10Sa RNA or SsrA, is named for its dual tRNA and mRNA-like properties. Its role is to liberate the mRNA from a stalled ribosome. To accomplish this part of the tmRNA is used as a reading frame that ends in a translation stop signal. Lineage: Bacteria; Pseudomonadati; Bacteroidota. The record is from RNAcentral.
GGGGCUGUUCUGGUUUUUGACAGCAGGUAGAAGAGGUAUGUAAGCAUGCAGUGUAUUGUCGUAUAGCACUUUAAUCAUAGACGGCAACAACAAUAACUGGCGAAACUAAUUACGCUCUCGCUGCUUGAUUGAAGUUUAGUAGAUCAGCUUAAUUCCGGUACAAGGUGCCGGAACGAGACAUCUCUCGAAUGCCAUUCCCUGAAGCGGUUCGGUAUAGAGGUGUGGAAAAAUCGGGGAUAGCGGGCGAUGGCCGUGCAUGGCUCGCGAAAAUUUAGCGGAUAAGGUGUCGGUUGGUGGCUUCGGUCUUGCCGAUACACGAAAAUGAAGGCGAAGAUAAGCAUGUAGAAAGCAUAUUGCUUCCUUGUUUGGACACGGGUUCGACCCCCGUCAGCUCCAC